AAUCAAACUUCUAAGUUUGAUGGAAAUUUCAUAAGUACUCUCGUGGGUUCUAAUUAUACGGAUAUAGAAAAUUCGGGGUGUUCAAUCUGACCAUGUUUUGUUCGUAUAUUGCCACCGAUCAGCUGUACUCUUAAAGGAAGUGUUGUCAAAACCUAAAGCACAUUACCUUUUUUGCUUGCAUGGGGCUUGUUUUUUAAAUGCGUGUUUCACAGGAUAGGAGUAGAUUUGUAGCAGGGGCACCUUUUCUUCAUGGGAUUUCUAUUUUGAUGGCUCUCAUUGUUUAGUCCUCAGUUUUGCCCAUGCUCGUUUGCAGUCCUCACUUUUCCCCUCUAUCGCGUGGUCCAUCCUGGCACCUUUUCUUCAUGGGAUUUCUAUUUUGAUGGCUCUCAUUGUUUAGUCCUCAGUUUUGCCCAUGCUCCUUUGCAGUCCUCACUUUUCCCCUCUAUCGCGUGGUGCAUCCUUACAAAAGCUCGAACGGGGGUUUGUCGUCUUGUCAAAGUCUUUGACCGUUACUUGUGCACUGAUGCGUGAUCGUAGGUAGGCUCUGAGCAUAUUACUUGCAUGGGGCUUGUUUUUUAAAUGCGUGUUUCACAGGAUAGGAGUAGAUUUGUAGCAGGGGCACCUUUUCUUCAUGGGAUUUCUAUUUUGAUGGCUCUCAUUGUUUAGUCCUCAGUUUUGCCCAUGCUCGUUUGCAGUCCUCACUUUUCCCCUCUAUCGCGUGGUCCAUCCUGGCACCUUUUCUUCAUGGGAUUUCUAUUUUGAUGGCUCUCAUUGUUUAGUCCUCAGUUU
RNAcentral lists this long non-coding RNA (789 nucleotides) under Triticum aestivum (bread wheat). RNAcentral's name for it is "long non-coding RNA (TAES_LNC011972)". The record is from RNAcentral. Lineage: Eukaryota; Viridiplantae; Streptophyta; Magnoliopsida; Poales; Poaceae.